AGCAUAUAAGUAAGCGGAGGAUAAGAAACUAAAUAGGAUUCCCUUAGUAAUGGCGAAUGAACAGGGAUCAGCUCAGCAUGGAAAUCGGGGCCCUCGGCCUUGAAUUGUAGUCUCGAGAUGUAUCGCCAACGGAGGCGCAGAUGUAAGCCUCUUGGAAAGGAGCAUCAACGAGGGUGAGAGUCCCGUUUGUCAUCUGCAGUCCCCCGUGCACGGCAUACCUUCUAAGAGUCGCGUUCCUCGGAAUUGGAGCGUAAAUUGGGUGGUAAAUUUCAUCUCAAGCUAAAUAUUGGUUCGAGACCGAUAGCAAACAAGUACCAUGAGGGAAAGAUGAAAAGGACUUUGAAAAGAGAGUUAAAAGUGCCUGAAAUUGCUGAAAGGGAAGCGAAUGGAACCAGUGUUGCUUGGAUGUGAUUGGCGGGUGCAUGACGCGCUCGUUGUAUUUCCUUCCUUGUGUGUCAACGCCAGUUCGCGAUCGAGGAAAACUCCAGGGUCAUGGUAGCUUGUCUCAGGGUGAGUGAAUAGCCUUGGCAGAACUCAUUUGCGGACUGUUUCUUUCGUGUCUGGUUGCAGUGUCUUUGGCACCCUGGCGAUCUUGGCUUGGCUCUUCUGCCACAGGCGAGUGACCCAGGUGACUCGGGCAUUUCCCUGACACAAAGACGAUGACUAAAUGGUUCUAUUCGACCCGUCUUG
Molecule: ribosomal RNA, 690 nt
Filed under: Prorocentrum criophilum
Lineage: Eukaryota; Dinophyceae; Prorocentrales; Prorocentraceae
Description: partial large subunit ribosomal RNA
Rfam family: Eukaryotic large subunit ribosomal RNA
Source: RNAcentral